Molecule: ribosomal RNA, 460 nt
Filed under: uncultured bacterium
Lineage: Bacteria
Description: partial 16S ribosomal RNA
Rfam family: Bacterial small subunit ribosomal RNA
Source: RNAcentral
CCUACGGGCGGCAGCAGUGAGGAAUAUUGGUCAAUGGACGGAAGUCUGAACCAGCCAUGCCGCGUGCAGGCAGACGGCUCUAUGAGUUGUAAACUUCUUUUGUACAAGGGUAAACCUGAAUACGUGUAUUCAGCUGAAAGUACUUUACGAAUAAGGAUCGGCUAACUCCGUGCCAGCAGCCGCGGUAAUACGGAGGAUCCAAGCGUUAUCCGGAUUUAUUGGGUUUAAAGGGUGCGUAGGCGGAUUGAUAAGUUAGAGGUGAAAUGUUCGGGCUUAACUCGGGAACUGCCACUAAUACUGGUGGUCUAGAGAGUAGAUGAGGUAGGCGGAAUGUAUGGUGUAGCGGUGAAAUGCUUAGAGAUCAUACAGAACACCGAUUGCGAAGGCAGCUUACCAAUCUAUAUCUGACGUUGAGGCACGAAAGCGUGGGGAGCAAACAGGAUUAGAUACCCGGGUAGUC